UACGUAGGGGGCGCAAGCGUUUAUCCGGGAAUUUAUUUGGGGGCGUAAAAGAGCUCGUAGGCGGGUUUUGUCGCGUCUGCUGUGAAAAACGCGAGGGCUCAACCCUCGCGCCUGCAGUGGGGGUACGGGGGCAGACUAGAGUUGCGGGUAGGGGGGAGAUUUUGGAAUUUUCCUGGGGUGUUAGCGGGGGUGGGAAUGCGCAGAUAUUCAGGAGG
RNAcentral lists this ribosomal RNA (215 nucleotides) under uncultured bacterium. RNAcentral's name for it is "partial 16S ribosomal RNA". The record is from RNAcentral.